Long non-coding RNA from Sinocyclocheilus rhinocerous, 302 nucleotides. RefSeq lists it as uncharacterized. The transcript has 4 exons. NCBI's taxonomy places the organism in Eukaryota, Metazoa, Chordata, Actinopteri, Cypriniformes, Cyprinidae. The record is from RefSeq and is a predicted model, not a curated record.
UAGGCUAAUUACAUUGUCCAAUAGGCCUGUGAUUGAUUUGUGAACGUGUCAAAAUGUGACGUGAAGACUAGUAACGUAGGCCUACCUGAGCAACCCCAGACAGGAUGGAAAGAGCGGUUGUAGGCAAUAAAGGUCAAAAUGGACCGAAUGAAUGCAUAGACAACAAUGCACAAGCCCUUUCUCGUGGAAAACCAGUCUGGUGAGAGAGAGUGAGAUUUUACAUGCAGUUUUUAUGAGAUCUGCACAAAGAAGACGACAAUAAUAACAACAGAUGCGCGGUAAACAGUUGGCAGUAUCUCUGC